RNAcentral lists this unclassified non-coding RNA (149 nucleotides) under soil metagenome. RNAcentral describes it as "partial internal transcribed spacer 1". The record is from RNAcentral.
CCGAGUUUACAACUCCCAAACCCCUGUGAACAUACCUUUAUGUUGCCUCGGCGGAUCAGCCCGCGCCCCGUAAAACGGGACGGCCCGCCGCAGGAAACCCUAAGCUCUGUUUUUAGUGGAACUUCUGAGUAUAAAAAACAAAUAAAUCA